This 497-nucleotide ribosomal RNA is filed under the name uncultured bacterium. Its description in RNAcentral is "partial 16S ribosomal RNA". It matches the Rfam family "Bacterial small subunit ribosomal RNA", at positions 28 to 507 of the family's 1533-position model. The record is from RNAcentral.
GAUGAACGCUGGCGGCGUGCCUAAUACAUGCAAGUCGAGCGAACAGACGAGGAGCUUGCUCCUCUGACGUUAGCGGCGGACGGGUGAGUCACACGUGGAUAACCUACCUAUAAGACUGGGAUAACUUCGGGAAACCGGAGCUAAUACCGGAUCAUAUAUUGAACCGCAUGGUUCAAUAGUGAAAGACGGUUUUGCUGUCACUUAUAGAUGGAUCCGCGCCGCAUUAGCUAGUUGGUAAGGUAACGGCUUACCAAGGCAACGAUGCGUAACCGACCUGAGAGGAUGAUCGGCCACACUGGAACUGAGACACGGUCCAGACUCCUACGGGAGGCAGCAGUAGGGAAUAUUCCGCAAUGGGCGAAAGCCUGACGGAGCAACGCCGCGUGAGUGAAGAAGGUCUUCGGAUCGUAAAACUCUGUUAGUAGGGAAGAACAAAUGUGUAAGUAACUAUGCACGUCUUGACGGUACCAAAUCAGAAAGCCACGGCUAACUACGUG